Molecule: long non-coding RNA, 1665 nt
Organism: Lolium perenne
Lineage: Eukaryota; Viridiplantae; Streptophyta; Magnoliopsida; Poales; Poaceae
Source: RefSeq, a predicted model, not a curated record
CCAGCCGGACGAGAACGAAUCCGUAUGCUCCAGCACCUUGUUCUGAUCCGACAAGGCCAUCGUCAUCAAGUAAAAUGGAAGUGCGAGCAAAGCAAGAAAGUUAGCAGAGAUGAUCCGCAGCCUUGGGAUCCCGGUGAACUGCGGCUGCAUGCUCGACUACGAGGACAACUAGAACUGGCAGCUCCAGAACAACCAAUGCCUGUCAGGCCUGCAUAGCAACGGGUGAUGGAUUUUCUUAAGAUGCUGCUGAAGAGGGAUAUACUCCAUUAACUAAUGCGGAUCUCUUGAAGGAAGUCCUUGCUUGCUUGUGUAGUGCAUUACUUCCUUGAUUGCUUGGUGUGCUUUUAUGAGUAGGAAUUGGCUUGCAUAAAUAUCUUUAUCAUUCAACUUAAAUACAGUUCAAACUGCAGUUUAAAUUCAUGCAUCUUUUAUAAUCUUAAUGAUGUCAUACAAUGGAGCCAGUGGAAGAAGUAGAUAAAUGGAGAUGACAUGUAUCAUUUCCAGGUACAUCUAUGACUUGAUUAAAAACUGCAUACUUUCUUUUCCUUCCAAACAAGCUCGUUGGGAGCAUAUUUGAUUGUAUAUGUAAUAGGGGUAUGGUUUUUCUUUCACCAUUCUACUAUGACAAGCCUUGAGAUAAUUUUUUAAAGUUUUGUGGUUUUAACAGAUCAUUGUGUACAUACAGUUCAGUAAUUAUGGUUGCUUGUGAGAAAUGCAAGGAGUUGUUGCUUGUGAGAAAUGCAAUUUUCAACUUGCAACUGAUAUGAAGUUUAAAUACAGUUCAAAUUGCUACUGCCAAUACUCCUACUGCUACUAUCAAUACUCCUACUGCUACUGGCAGUAUUUCCUAUUGUUACUGACGUUAUUUUAACACAUUGUUAUAGUCCAGGACGGUGGUGUCUUGGCGAUUCAGCACACCGCAGGCAACGAGCAGCUUGAGGUGUGCAUGACCUUGUCCAGGAGCUGUGCGUGAAUGUUCAAUAUGAGCCAGCCAAGGAGCACCAGUUAUCACACAUAGUGGCGUACAUAUGAAAGAUGCAUACUGCUCCACUAUACUUGAGCAUCUUCGCAAGGUGGAGGAUUGCAAUUGAGGUCAAAGAAUUGCUGAGCCAUGCGCUGGUUGGACAUCGCCCACUGCUGCUUGCCAAAGAUCAUGCACUGAAGAUUGCCGGAGAUCACGGCCAGGUUACUUGCCGGAGAUCACGGCCAUGACCAGGUGCUUGCCGGAGAUCACGCCCUUGAGAUUGCCGAGAUCAUGGCCUGGUGCUUGCCGGAGAUCACGGCUUCUGGGGCUGGAGGUGGCGUACAUGGGAAGGUCAGCGGACAGAGAAGUAGAUUGGGCCGGUGGUGGAGACGAUGGGGAGGGUGGAGGGAAUAUGAGGAGCUGCGGUCUGUGGUGGAGUUGAUGGGGAGCGGGGAAGGCAAAUCGAAGCUGCGGCCGGUCGUGGAGUCGAUGGGGAGGGAUGAUGGCGGAGGAGCAGCUAAGGACCGGUGGUGGAGUCGAUGAAGGGGAAUCCAUGGCGAUGGCGGUCGGCGGAGGACCAAGGACGAGUGAUUACGGAAGGGUACCGAUUCAUAAUUAGGGAAGGGUAGAGUCGUCAUUUCACAUGGUUUUCACCUGGUCGAAACGGUUCCCAAACGUCUUAUAUUCCGGAACGGAGGGAG